This 163-nucleotide long non-coding RNA is filed under the name Microcebus murinus (gray mouse lemur). Its description in RNAcentral is "lncRNA (ENSMICG00000048308.1)". Lineage: Eukaryota; Metazoa; Chordata; Mammalia; Primates; Cheirogaleidae. The record is from RNAcentral.
AUUCCCUGGCUGAGGAUAUGGCCCUCCCAGAAGUUGAGGGGCUUGGAUUUAGGCCUGGAAGAAAUGCUGAUAUAUCCUGCAGAAGGGCAAGAUAAGCUGUGAUCCAGAUGUUUUGGAAUACACAAGAAUGACCACGCCAAGAAACCCCGGCAAAUCAUCAACC